RNAcentral lists this ribosomal RNA (406 nucleotides) under uncultured bacterium. RNAcentral describes it as "partial 16S ribosomal RNA". It matches the Rfam family "Bacterial small subunit ribosomal RNA", at positions 28 to 526 of the family's 1533-position model. The record is from RNAcentral.
GACGAACGCUGGCGGCAGGCCUAACACAUGCAAGUCGAACGAGUGGCGGACGGGUGAGUAAUGUCUGGGAAACUGCCCGAUGGAGGGGGAUAACUACUGGAAACGGUAGCUAAUACCGCAUACCAUCGGAUGUGCCCAGAUGGGAGUAGCUAGUAGGGGGGGUAACGGCUCACCUAGGCGACGAUCCCUCGCGGGGCUGAGAGGAUGACCAGCCACACGGGAACUGGGACACGUGCCAGACUCCUGCGGGAGGCAGCAGUGGGGAAUAUUGCACAAUUGGCGCAAGCCUGAUGCAGCCAUGCCGCGUGUAUGAAGAAGGUCUUCGGGUUGUAAAGUACUUUCAGCGAGGAGGCGUUACUCGCAGAAGAAGCACCGGCUAACUCCGUGCCAGCAGCCGCGGUAAUUC